Molecule: transfer RNA, 69 nt
Filed under: Elassoma alabamae (spring pygmy sunfish)
Lineage: Eukaryota; Metazoa; Chordata; Actinopteri; Centrarchiformes; Elassomatidae
Description: tRNA-His
Rfam family: tRNA
About the family: Transfer RNA (tRNA) molecules are approximately 80 nucleotides in length. Their secondary structure includes four short double-helical elements and three loops (D, anti-codon, and T loops). Further hydrogen bonds mediate the characteristic L-shaped molecular structure. tRNAs have two regions of fundamental functional importance: the anti-codon, which is responsible for specific mRNA codon recognition, and the 3' end, to which the tRNAs corresponding amino acid is attached (by aminoacyl-tRNA synthetases). tRNAs cope with the degeneracy of the genetic code in two manners: having more than one tRNA (with a specific anti-codon) for a particular amino acid; and 'wobble' base-pairing, i.e. permitting non-standard base-pairing at the 3rd anti-codon position.
Source: RNAcentral
GUAAAUAUAGUUUAACGAAAACACUAGAUUGUGAUUCUAGAAAUGAAGACUAAUAUCCUUCUAUUCACC